GGAGGAUGGUAUGGUAAGCUGUUUAGGUAAAUCAUAAGGGAACUGGGUUUGAGAUCAAACAUAAUAUGUAAAAAACUAUGGCGCGUUUGACUGGCAGUCAAAAGGUCACGGGUUCGAAUCCCGUAUUCUCCA
RNAcentral lists this transfer RNA (132 nucleotides) under Chryseobacterium pyrolae. RNAcentral describes it as "tRNA-OTHER". The stretch from base 37 to 132 matches the Rfam family "tRNA". From Rfam's summary of the family: Transfer RNA (tRNA) molecules are approximately 80 nucleotides in length. The record is from RNAcentral. Lineage: Bacteria; Pseudomonadati; Bacteroidota; Flavobacteriia; Flavobacteriales; Weeksellaceae.